Molecule: ribosomal RNA, 128 nt
Filed under: uncultured eukaryote
Lineage: Eukaryota
Description: partial small subunit ribosomal RNA
Rfam family: Eukaryotic small subunit ribosomal RNA
Source: RNAcentral
CCCUGCCAUUUGUACACACCGCCCGUCGCUACUACCGAUUGAAUGGCUCAGUGAGGCUUCCGGACUGGCCCAGAGGAGUCGGCAACGACACCUCAGGGCCGGAAAGCUAUCCAAACUCGGUCAUUUAG